Molecule: non-coding RNA, 45 nt
Filed under: Schistosoma bovis
Lineage: Eukaryota; Metazoa; Platyhelminthes; Trematoda; Strigeidida; Schistosomatidae
Also listed under: 1 other name
Source: RNAcentral
AUCCAGUUGACGAGUCCCAAAUAUGACGAAAAGCGCGUCCUGAAU